Molecule: ribosomal RNA, 569 nt
Filed under: uncultured archaeon
Lineage: Archaea
Description: bacterial SSU rRNA
Rfam family: Archaeal small subunit ribosomal RNA
Source: RNAcentral
CGGGGUGCACCAGGCGCGAAAACUCUACAAUGCAGGCAACUGCGAUAGGGGGACAUCGAGUGGCAUCCACCUUGGGUGCCUGUCCAACCGUCUAAAAAACGGUUGUUAGCAAGGGCCGGGUAAGACCGGUGCCAGCCGCCGCGGUAAUACCGGCGGCUCGAGUGGUGGCCGAUAUUAUUGAGUCUAAAGGGUCCGUAGCCGGCUUUGCAAGUCCCCUGGGAAAUCCAGCGGCUUAACCGUUGGGCUUUCAUGGGAUACUACAUUGCUUGGGACUGGGAGAGGUAGGAGGUACUCGGGGGGUAGGGGUGAAAUCCUGUAAUCCUCCGGGGACCACCGGUGGCGAAGGCGUCCUACCAGAACAGGUCCGACGGUGAGGGACGAAAGCUAGGGGCACGAACCGGAUUAGAUACCCGGGUAGUCCUAGCCGUAAACGAUGCCCACUAGGUGUCACGACGGUCGUGAAUCGUCGUGGUGCCGUAGGGAAGCCGCGAAGCGGGCCACUUGGGAAGUACGGCCGCAAGGCGGAAACUUAAAGGAAUUGGCGGGGGAGCACAAGGGCGAAUUCGCGG